Molecule: ribosomal RNA, 255 nt
Filed under: uncultured bacterium
Lineage: Bacteria
Description: partial 16S ribosomal RNA
Rfam family: Bacterial small subunit ribosomal RNA
Source: RNAcentral
UACGGUGGGAGCAAGCGUUGUUCGGAUUUACUGGGCGUAAAGGGCGCGUAGGCGGUCAGCACAAGUCAGUUGUGAAAUCUCCGGGCUUAACUCGGAAAGGUCAACUGAUACUGCGGGGCUAGAGUGCGGAAGGGGCAACUGGAAUUCUCGGUGUAGCGGUGAAAUGCGUAGAUAUCUGGAGGAACACCGGUGGCGAAGGCGGCAUCCUGGACCACGACUGACGCUGAGUGAGCGAAAGCCAGGGGAGCAAACGGG